Molecule: long non-coding RNA, 476 nt
Organism: Vicia villosa (hairy vetch)
Lineage: Eukaryota; Viridiplantae; Streptophyta; Magnoliopsida; Fabales; Fabaceae
Exons: 2
Source: RefSeq, a predicted model, not a curated record
GCAUAUUGCAAGAACAAAAGAAAAUAGAGUUGUAUGAAAAUCUUGAAAGAAAAAUGGCAACGCUCAUUUGUCAAUCUCUUCUAUUGGGACUUUUAUGCAUUGCGUUGGUUCUGGCUUCAGCAGAAGAACCGCCAUAUUUGAAGAAUCCUCGUACGGAACUUUUAUGCUUUAGGACUGAGAGAUGCCCAAGUUGUAACGAUUUGUGCAAGCUUAAGGGAUAUUCUAAUGGAGUUUGUUAUGGAACGAUUUGUUGUUGUCGUUCUUAAAGACAUGUCAUAGAUAAUAUGCAAUUAAGACCAACAAAGUACUACUUCAAAGAUUACUUCAAAGAGCCUGAAUCUAUGAGAAGCUAAAAUAAAAAUGAAAUUAUGGAAGUAAAAAGUGUUAUUAAAAGUUGUUUUAGUUAAAAUAAUAUGUACCCAAGUCAAAAAUUACUAUAUUCAACAAUCAUCAAUCUAUGAGCAAUAUAUUAACAA